RNAcentral lists this ribosomal RNA (1443 nucleotides) under uncultured organism. RNAcentral describes it as "16S ribosomal RNA". It matches the Rfam family "Bacterial small subunit ribosomal RNA". The record is from RNAcentral.
CAGGCUUAACACAUGCAAGUCGAGGGGCAUCAGGAAGAAAGCUUGCUUUCUUUGCUGGCGACCGGCGCACGGGUGAGUAACACGUAUCCAACCUGCCCUUUACUCGGGGAUAGCCUUUCGAAAGAAAGAUUAAUACCCGAUAGCAUAAUGAUUCCGCAUGGUUUCAUUAUUAAAGGAUUCCGGUAAAGGAUGGGGAUGCGUUCCAUUAGGUUGUUGGUGAGGUAACGGCCCACCAAGCCUUCGAUGGAUAGGGGUUCUGAGAGGAAGGUCCCCCACAUUGGAACUGAGACACGGUCCAAACUCCUACGGGAGGCAGCAGUGAGGAAUAUUGGUCAAUGGGCGCUAGCCUGAACCAGCCAAGUAGCGUGAAGGAUGAAGGCUCUAUGGGUCGUAAACUUCUUUUAUAUAAGAAUAAAGUGCAGUAUGUAUACUGUUUUGUAUGUAUUAUAUGAAUAAGGAUCGGCUAACUCCGUGCCAGCAGCCGCGGUAAUACGGAGGAUCCGAGCGUUAUCCGGAUUUAUUGGGUUUAAAGGGAGCGUAGGUGGACUGGUAAGUCAGUUGUGAAAGUUUGCGGCUCAACCGUAAAAUUGCAGUUGAUACUGUCAGUCUUGAGUACAGUAGAGGUGGGCGGAAUUCGUGGUGUAGCGGUGAAAUGCUUAGAUAUCACGAAGAACUCCGAUUGCGAAGGCAGCUCACUGGACUGCAACUGACACUGAUGCUCGAAAGUGUGGGUAUCAAACAGGAUUAGAUACCCUGGUAGUCCACACAGUAAACGAUGAAUACUCGCUGUUUGCGAUAUACAGUAAGCGGCCAAGCGAAAGCAUUAAGUAUUCCACCUGGGGAGUACGCCGGCAACGGUGAAACUCAAAGGAAUUGACGGGGGCCCGCACAAGCGGAGGAACAUGUGGUUUAAUUCGAUGAUACGCGAGGAACCUUACCCGGGCUUAAAUUGCAGUGGAAUGAUGUGGAAACAUGUCAGUGAGCAAUCACCGCUGUGAAGGUGCUGCAUGGUUGUCGUCAGCUGGUGCCGUGAGGUGUCGGCUUAAGUGCCAUAACGAGCGCAACCCUUAUCUUUAGUUACUAACAGGUUAUGCUGAGGACUCUAGAGAGACUGCCGUCGUAAGAUGUGAGGAAGGUGGGGAUGACGUCAAAUCAGCACGGCCCUUACGUCCGGGGCUACACACGUGUUACAAUGGGGGGUACAGAAGGCAGCUAGCGGGUGACCGUAUGCUAAUCCCAAAAUCCUCUCUCAGUUCGGAUCGAAGUCUGCAACCCGACUUCGUGAAGCUGGAUUCGCUAGUAAUCGCGCAUCAGCCACGGCGCGGUGAAUACGUUCCCGGGCCUUGUACACACCGCCCGUCAAGCCAUGGGAGCCGGGGGUACCUGAAGUACGUAACCGCAAGGAUCGUCCUAGGGUAAAACUGGUGACUGGGGCUAAGUCGU